CGGGCCGCUGCAGCAGCAAGGAAUAUUGUGCAAUGGGCGAAAGCCUGACACAGCGACGCCGCGUGGGGGAAGAAGGCCUUCGGGUUGUAAACCCCUUUUCUCAGGGAAGAAUAAUGACGGUACCUGAGGAAUAAGUCUCGGCUAACUACGUGCCAGCAGCCGCGGUAAUACGUAGGAGGCGAGUGUUAUCCGGAUUUACUGGGCGUAAAGCGGGCGUAGGUGGCCUUACAAGUCGGAUGUGAAAUCUCCUGGCUUAACUGGGAGGGGUCAUUCGAAACUGUUGGGCUAGAGGGCAGCAGAGGGAAGUGGAAUUCCCGGUGUAGUGGUGAAAUGCGUAGAUAUCGGGAGGAACACCAGUGGCGAAGGCGGCUUCCUGGGCUGUUUCUGACGCUGAGGCCCUAAAGCAUGGGGAGCGAACAGGAUUAGAUACCCGCGUAGUC
This 440-nucleotide ribosomal RNA is filed under the name uncultured bacterium. RNAcentral's name for it is "partial 16S ribosomal RNA". It matches the Rfam family "Bacterial small subunit ribosomal RNA", at positions 327 to 795 of the family's 1533-position model. The record is from RNAcentral.